RNAcentral lists this ribosomal RNA (253 nucleotides) under uncultured bacterium. Its description in RNAcentral is "partial 16S ribosomal RNA". It matches the Rfam family "Bacterial small subunit ribosomal RNA", at positions 524 to 776 of the family's 1533-position model. The record is from RNAcentral.
UACGGAGGGGGCAAGCGUUGUUCGGAAUUAUUGGGCGUAAAGAGUAUGUAGGCGGCUAGAUAAGUCAGACGUGUAAGCCCAUGGCUCAACCAUGGAAUUGCGUUUGAAACUAUUUAGCUUGAGUGCAGGAGAGGAAAGCGGAAUUCCCAGUGUAGCGGUGAAAUGCAUUGAUAUUGGGAAGAACACCGGUGGCGAAGGCGGCUCACUGGCUCGAUACUGACGCUGAGGUACGAAAGUGUGGGGAGCAAACAGG